UCACUGUUGCACAAUGUAUAUAUACGCAAGAUGUUUAUACUCAAAAACUGCAGUAUGUAUAGGGUUUGAACUUUAAUUUGUAGAUAGGUAAAUCCAUUACGCUAUAGUGAAAUGUGUAUGGGCGGCUUGAAAAAACUACAAAAUAUUAAAAAAAAAUAAUAAGUCAUAGAAAAAUAAGUGUUGUCCAGUCGAAAAACACGUAGGUAUUUUCAAAAAAAGUUGAAACAUUUGGGGUGCCUGGUUAAGGAUUUUUCUUUUAAUAGUUAUCUUUAAUACAUAUUAUCUAGGUAGUUAGGAUAUUUUUCAUUAGAUUUUAAUUUCAUUACUUAAUAGAACUUUUAGGAUGCUUAAUCUCCAUAAUUUUUAAAAACCUAAUUUAUUUCUGACUUUAAAUAUAUAAUAAAUGUAACAGUAAUACAUAUUAGAAAUUAAAUAAUCACUCUGAUAAUAACUGUAGAUGAUUAUAAAAUCAACCUCUGUUUAACAGUAAAAUUUCUAAAAGAACAGUAAUCACAUAGGUUAUUUCUGUUGUCGUUUUUUAGGUACACUAUUAUUUAUAUAAUUCCAUCAUAUAUGUCAAUACAAAUUGAUUACUCUUUAAUGGACUACAAAAAUUGCCCCUUUGGCAACAAGGUUCUUCCGCACUCUAAUAUGGGCCUGCUAAUGGGUCACUAUAUAUUAUACAAUUUCCUUGACCUUUCUGAAGUCCUAAUCUGUUCCAGAUUAUAUUGAAAUAAAAAUGUUUUAUUUGAAUACAUAUUUCAUUUUAAUAAUUAUAAUUUAUAAUUGAUCAUAAACUUAUAUGGUUAAAAACUAUAAAUUAUAUACUGUAUUUACAUAUUUUACUGUGACAUGAUUAAAUAUUAAAUAAUUUACUGUUUAUUAUAAAAUAUAUCUGCCAAUGUUUGUUUCAUUUUAGUAUUAUAAUUUUUAGAUAUAAUGGAUUCUUCUGAACUUAACUGUAUUUCAAAAAAUAAAUGUUUUGGAGGUUCUCAACGAGUUUAUGAACAUUUUAGGUAAUUAUUUAAACAAUUAUGAUAAUUGCUGUACGUCUGAUUACGAGAUGUUUAUUUAAUUUUUUUUAUUUUUCAGUUCUUCAUUACAAUGUAACAUGAAAUUUGCUAUUUACAUUCCUCCAGAAACAAUACGUUCUGAAAAAUUCCCUGUAUUGUUUUACUUAUCAGGUUUAACAUGCAGUGAACAAAAUGUCAUCACUAAGUCAGGAUUUCAAAAAUUUGCUGCUCAAUAUAAAAUAAUUAUUGUUGCUCCUGACACUAGCCCUAGUAAGUUGAUAUCUAAACUGAUACAUAAUUGUGUAAAAUUGUAUAUCUUUAUACACUUUAGUAUAAGUAUAAACUGAAACAAAAUUUAAUAACUCUAAAGCUUAUAGGAAUUAAAUUUAGACAUGAUAAUUAUUUUAAUAGUUUAUCAUUUUAUUUAAAAUGCGUAUAAUUGAGAUCCGACUGAAGGCUUUGUCACAUCAUAACCGUAGGACCGACCAUCGUGACUGCUCCUCAGAAUCAAUAUAAUAUCAUAAUAUAAAAUAUAUAAUGUAUUAGUGAUUUUACCUCUAACCUUAGCUCCAAAUGUUGCAUGUAUGAUGGCGUAUAUAAUAUAUAUGUAUCAUUUUUAACAGCUCCAAAUUAAACUUAAUUAUUUAUUUAUUUAUUAACACCAGUCAGCAAUUUUGUGAUAACAUUUAUGGUUUGGUUUACAAGUAACAGUUAUUUAUAAUGUAAUACUAAUAAUUCACAGUAACAACGAAAAUAGUGCAGAAACAACAAAAUACAUAUUAGGUGGUGACAUAUUACCACCAUAUAAAAAAAAAAAAUUAAUAAAUAAAAAUUAAAUUAAAUAUAAAAACAUUACAACUAGUUUUACAUUUAAAAUGAUUAAAAAUCAUUUUUUGAUUGAAAUCAAAAUUAAGGCUAUUUAAAUUACGAAGCAUUUUAUGUAAGAGGAGGUUAUUACCAUAGAUAUACUGUGGGCUGGUACUAGGAAGAUAGUGUGAUGUCUGGAGAAGACGAAAGGGAUACGAAAACUUACUUUUAUAAUAGAUCAGAAGCAUCUAUGGUGCCUCUUAAGCAUGAAGAAAUAAAUUGCACGUCAAUGUCUUAUGUAGGAUAAACGUAGUGGAAUUUCCAAUAUACUACGAAUUAAGGAGAAGUCAUGUUGAUGGGUGUGGUAAUUUAAGGAAAUGGGCUGCGUGCGUAGGAAAGAAACCUAUUUUGAACACAUUCUAGUCUAAAUUCAUCUUUAGCCAAGUAAGGAUGCCAUACUAUCACUCUAUAUUCUAAUAUUGAAUGUACUAACGUGAAAUAUAAUGUCAGGAGGCAACACAAAAGAAAAAUGUGUGGUGUUGCGCUUAAUAAAUCCCAAGACUUUUAAUAUUUUACCUACAGUUACAUUUAUGUGAUGUUCAAAGUUAAAAGAUUGAGUAUAUCAAGAUUUUUAUGGAGAAAAACAUGAUCAAGAGUGGUGCCAUUAAAAUAAUAGUUGUUAAUUAUUUUUAAAUGUGGGUAUUUUGCUUAUGGAUUCACAUAAAUCGCAGUUUUUUUCUACUAUUUAUUAAGAAUACAAAAUAAAUCAUUAUAUUAUACAUAAUAUUAGCAAAAAAAAAGCAAUAUAAAAUUUCAUAUCUGGAGUCCCUGGUGCAUAAAACAAAUAUAAAGCUUAUUUUUAUCUGUAUCCUAUAAUAAUUAGCAAAAGGUCUAAAAUCUCGCCCUGGUUAUUACUUAUAGUGUUCUGGCUAUAAUUAUUUUUUAUAAUCUUAUAUAGUUUGACUAAAUAAGGUUUUUUUUUGUUGAUGAUAUGAAUUUUUAUGGCAGAACUGAACUUUUCUUAAAAUUAAUGAACACAAACUAAACUAAUCCUGCACAAAUUUACACAUACAACCUAUUUAUUUGAAUUGAACUGAACAAAACUAUUUAAAAUAUGUUAUUAACUUAAACUAAAUAUUAAACAUUUUUCAUAAUGAGGCCUCUUUGUCCCAUCAUGCACAGGAAACAGUGUUGGUAACUGCGCUGAAUAGUUGUUGUAGAUUUUUGAAUUUCAAAAAUUAAACAGCUCAUAACAUCUAUACUAUUUUUCACGAGAGAAAGUUAUUCACGCACGCAGACUGAGCUUACGGAUCACUUGCUACCGCUCUCGUCGUUGAUGGCAGUCCGCAAAAUUACACCUGGCCUAAUAGUGGUGGGAGCUCUGGGCGAGGUGCGGCGUGGGGAUGCGUAAAAAUAACUAGUUUUUGUUGAGACUCUCCGCUGUUCUUUCGUGAAAAAUAGUAUACUUUAUUUAUGUUUAUUGUGCGAACAAAUUAUUUUUCUGAAUAUUUAUAUUCAAACUAACCAUUUUUGAACACAUUAUAAAAAUAAAUAAUAAUAAUAUUAUUUUAUUUUUGUUAAUUGCUAUUUUAUGUAAAAUACAUGUAUUAAUUUUAUAGGAAAUGUUAUUUCUAAUGAAGAUGAUUCAUGGAAUGUUGGUGCUGGUGCAUCUAUGUAUGUAGAUGCUACCCAAGAACCUUGGAAUAAGCAUUAUCAGAUGUACACCUAUAUUACCAAAGAACUAUAUGAACUAAUACAAAAUCAUUUUCCAGUAAUAAAAAAUAAAAUAUCUAUU
Molecule: long non-coding RNA, 3615 nt
Filed under: Cinara cedri
Lineage: Eukaryota; Metazoa; Arthropoda; Insecta; Hemiptera; Aphididae
Source: RNAcentral